RNAcentral lists this ribosomal RNA (372 nucleotides) under uncultured bacterium. Its description in RNAcentral is "bacterial SSU rRNA". It matches the Rfam family "Bacterial small subunit ribosomal RNA", at positions 527 to 898 of the family's 1533-position model. The record is from RNAcentral.
GAAGGGGGCUAGCGUUGUUCGGAAUUACUGGGCGUAAAGCGCGCGUAGGCGGUUUUGCAAGCCAGAGGUGAAAUGCCUGAGCUUAACUUAGGAAUUGCCUUUGGGACUGCGAGGCUUUGAGGACGGGAGAGGUGAGUGGAAUUCCCAGUGUAGAGGUGAAAUUCGUAGAUAUUGGGAAGAACACCGGUGGCGAAGGCGGCUCACUGGCCCGUUUCUGACGCUGCAGCGCGAAAGCGUGGGGAUCAAACAGGAUUAGAUACCCUGGUAGUCCACGCUGUAAACGAUGAGUGCUAGGCGUCGGCAGGCUUGCCUGUCGGUGCCGCAGCUAACGCGUGAAGCACUCCGCCUGGGGAGUACGGUCGCAAGAUUAAA